CGUGUGGUUCUAUUUUGUUGGUUUCUAGGACCGCCGUAAUGAUUAAUAGGGACAGUCGGGGGCAUCAGUAUUCAAUUGUCAGAGGUGAAAUUCUUGGAUUUAUUGAAGACUAACUACUGCGAAAGCAUUUGCCAAGGAUGUUUUCAUUAAUCAGGAACGAAAGUUAGGGGAUCGAAGACGAUCAGAUACCGUCGUAGUCUUAACCAUAAACUAUGCCGACUAGGGAUCGGACGAUGUUAUAUUUUGACUCGUUCGGCACCUUACGAGAAAUCAAAGUGCUUGGGCUCCAGGGGGAGUAUGGUCGCAAGGCUGAAACUUAAAGAAAUUGACGGAAGGCACCACCAGGGGUGGAGCCUGCGGCUUAAUUUGACUCAACACGGGGAAACUCACCAGGUCCAGACACAAUGAGGAUUGACAGAUUGAGAGCUCUUUCUUGAUUUUGUGGGUGGUGGUGCAUGGCCGUUCUUAGUUGGUGGAGUGAUUUGUCUGCUUAAUUGCGAUAACGAACGAGACCUUAACCUGCUAAAUAGCCCGUAUUGCUUUGGCAGUACGCUGGCUUCUUAGAGGGACUAUCGGCUCAAGCCGAUGGAAGUUUGAGGCAAUAACAGGCCUGUGAUGCCCUUAGA
RNAcentral lists this ribosomal RNA (626 nucleotides) under uncultured fungus. RNAcentral's name for it is "SSU rRNA". It matches the Rfam family "Eukaryotic small subunit ribosomal RNA", at positions 827 to 1477 of the family's 1831-position model. Lineage: Eukaryota; Fungi. The record is from RNAcentral.